AGUAGGGUCAGCUAAACAAGCUAUCGGGCCCAUACCCCGAAAAUGCCGAACGGCCCCUACUA
Molecule: transfer RNA, 62 nt
Filed under: Hypsiglena jani texana (Texas nightsnake)
Lineage: Eukaryota; Metazoa; Chordata; Lepidosauria; Squamata; Dipsadidae
Description: tRNA-Met
Source: RNAcentral